GCUCUUUAGCGUAUUGGGUCGAGUGUAAACUCAACCUUGUCGGGCGUUUCGCCAGACACUAACUUAUUGAGUGUA
Molecule: small RNA, 75 nt
Filed under: Vibrio crassostreae
Lineage: Bacteria; Pseudomonadati; Pseudomonadota; Gammaproteobacteria; Vibrionales; Vibrionaceae
Description: Retron msr RNA
Rfam family: Retron msr RNA
About the family: Retron elements are found in a wide range of mainly Gram-negative bacteria.
Source: RNAcentral